This 253-nucleotide ribosomal RNA is filed under the name uncultured bacterium. RNAcentral describes it as "partial 16S ribosomal RNA". It matches the Rfam family "Bacterial small subunit ribosomal RNA", at positions 524 to 776 of the family's 1533-position model. The record is from RNAcentral.
UACGUAGGUGGCAAGCGUUGUCCGGAAUUAUUGGGCGUAAAGCGCGCGCAGGCGGUUCCUUAAGUCUGAUGUGAAAGUCCACGGCUCAACCGUGGAGGGUCAUUGGAAAAUGGGGGACUUGAGUGCAGAAGAGGAGAGUGGAAUUCCACGUGUAGCGGUGAAAUGCGUAGAGAUGUGGAGGAACACCAGUGGCGAAGGCGGCUCUCUGGUCUGUAACUGACGCUGAGGCGCGAAAUCGUGAGGAGCAAACAGG